Molecule: ribosomal RNA, 1472 nt
Filed under: Vibrionaceae bacterium DS10
Lineage: Bacteria; Pseudomonadati; Pseudomonadota; Gammaproteobacteria; Vibrionales; Vibrionaceae
Description: 16S ribosomal RNA
Rfam family: Bacterial small subunit ribosomal RNA
Source: RNAcentral
AGCGCAGCUUACCAUGCAGUCGAGCGGAACGACUUCUCUGAACCUUCGGGGAACGUUAAGGGCGUCGUAGCGGCGGACGGGUGAGUAAUGCCUAGGAAAUUCGCCUUGAUGUGGGGGAUAACCAUUGGAAACGAUGGCUAAUACCGCAUAAUGCCUACGGGCCAAAGAGGGGGACCUUCGGGCCUCUCGCGUCAAGAUAUGCCUAGGUGGGAUUAGCUAGUUGGUGAGGUAAUGGCUCACCAAGGCGACGAUCCCUAGCUGGUCUGAGAGGAUGAUCAGCCACACUGGAACUGAGACACGGUCCAGACUCCUACGGGAGGCAGCAGUGGGGAAUAUUGCACAAUGGGCGAAAGCCUGAUGCAGCCAUGCCGCGUGUAUGAAGAAGGCCUUCGGGUUGUAAAGUACUUUCAGUUGUGAGGAAGGGGGUGUCGUUAAUAGCGGCAUCUCUUGACGUUAGCAACAGAAGAAGCACCGGCUAACUCCGUGCCAGCAGCCGCGGUAAUACGGAGGGUGCGAGCGUUAAUCGGAAUUACUGGGCGUAAAGCGCAUGCAGGUGGUUCAUUAAGUCAGAUGUGAAAGCCCGGGGCUCAACCUCGGAACUGCAUUUGAAACUGGUGAACUAGAGUACUGUAGAGGGGGGUAGAAUUUCAGGUGUAGCGGUGAAAUGCGUAGAGAUCUGAACGGAAUAACAGUGAGCUGAUAAGCGGCCCACAGCACAUGAUACUGAUCACUCAGAUGAGAUAUAGACGUGGGAGCAGACAGAACCUGAUUACAUACCUGUAGUCACCCCUAAUCGAUACGUCUAUCUACUAGAAGUUGUUGCCUCGAGCGUCGCUUUCGGAGCUAAUCCGCGCUUAGUAAUACGCCUGUAGAGGGGAGUGCGGCGGGUAGUAUAUCACAUAAAUGUUUAGGCGGGUGCCUGCAUCGAGGUGCGCGCAUUUUCUUUUAAUACAUCUCGCGGUAAGAUUUUUACUGUCUCCGGACAUACAGAGAAACGGGGGAGACAUGGGUUUCUUCAGCGGGAGAGUCUCAUAGGAUGAUGCUGCAUGCCGUCCCCCCACUUGAAAAGAAAAAAAAAAACGAAAAGGCUAUCAUCUAACGCGCCCCAUGGCCUUAUGAGACAGGAACUUAUGGCAAGAUAAUUAGGAAAAUCUCCCUGUUAUAAGAGGGGAGGAAGGUGGGGGAGACCAAGUCGUCUCAUCCCCUUUGAGUAUAGGUUCGCACGCGUUACACAGUGGCAUACACAGAGCGCGGAAAUUUUGAGAGUGAGAGAGUAUCAAAAAAAGUGUGUUAUUGCGGGGAGGAGUGUGCACAUCGAGUCCACGAAGUGUGGGUAUCUAUUAUUAUUAGAUCUCAAAAUUACGCGGAAUACGUUUUCGGGCCCCGUGCACACCGCCCGUCUCACCACAGGAGAGGGGUGCACAAGAGAAGUGUAUAGUAUACUUUGGGGAGGACGCUCACCACUUUGUCCU